UUUUUGUCAGAAAAAUCUCAAUAACAUUAAAGCUAGAUAACAAUCGUUUAAAUUAGGUAAUGAAAUUUAAAGAUAACCAUCGUUACCUAGUUUGUGGAUGUCGUUUCUGAAUUCAAGCCUAGUGGAUCACGACACCGGUCGACGGUGGCGGUCUUGGCAGGGUGGGACCACGGCCCAACGAUAGGAUUCGGGCAAUGAUUUGAGAACGGUGACGGUUCAUGAGGCGGAAAGCCUGCAAAACUAGAAACAAGAUCUAUCUAUGGUGGAUGACGAUGACUCGGUGGAGAUUCCAGUUGACUUCCCCAAGUUGUCUUCUCCCAGUACUCUUGCUAAGUGUACUCCCUCCAGGUCUUAGCCGUGGAGGAAUUUCGACUGGC
Molecule: long non-coding RNA, 377 nt
Filed under: Eucalyptus grandis
Lineage: Eukaryota; Viridiplantae; Streptophyta; Magnoliopsida; Myrtales; Myrtaceae
Description: long non-coding RNA (EGRA_LNC007307)
Source: RNAcentral